Triticum aestivum (bread wheat) is the source of this 134-nucleotide non-coding RNA. NCBI's taxonomy places the organism in Eukaryota, Viridiplantae, Streptophyta, Magnoliopsida, Poales, Poaceae. The record is from Rfam.
GUAGUACUCCCUCCGUCCGGAAAUUCUUGUUAUCAAAAUGAAUAAAAGGGGAUGUAUCUAAAUGUAUAUUAGUUCUAGAUACAUCUUUUUUAUCCAUUUUGAUGACAAGUAUUUUCGGACAGAGGGAGUACUUG